CAAAAGUUAAACACUUGGGGAACGGACUCGCCUUUCGGGGCUUGAGGCCUGACUCCAUUUGUAACAAACUUUCAACCACUUGUGAAUUUGUAAUAAUUAUAUCUCACCAAUUGACUGUUAACGAAGUCUGAUUCAAAUUGCAUUGGUGUUUAUAGACACUAGUAAAAUAUGAAA
This 174-nucleotide unclassified non-coding RNA is filed under the name uncultured fungus. RNAcentral's name for it is "sequence contains ITS1". Lineage: Eukaryota; Fungi. The record is from RNAcentral.